CUCAUUAUUUUAUUGCACAGUGUUGAAGAGAAGGCAGACAGACCCACCAAGGCCCAAGCAGAGUUUUUAAUGCAGCGAAGACUUACGACCUCAGCGUGCUUCGUCAGUAAGCUCCCGGAAGGACACAGAUGCUGUAUGUUGGUUCCACUGAAACUUCCAGAGCCCCUCUCCAGGAUCCUGACUGGCAGAGCCCCUUACAACGUGGUCCACUUUCCCUGUUUCUAUUUGCAGACGAACAUUGCCGCGGAUGGACGCUGGAACUCUGCCAUGGUGGAGGAGCCAGAAGGCUGCGGCAGAUGAAGGCAUUUGCAUGGUCUCAAAAUGUCAGGGUGGUAUGGAUGUUCUCUCCAAGAGAAAAGCGAUUGAAGCAAGUGAUUUCCUGAAACACGUGACCUCGGAGAGCCCAGUGCUGUAGUUAAGAAACGACCAUCCAUGUUACAGAAACACCAUUCCUGGUCGUUCUGACGUCAGUCGUACGAUGAAGUGCCAGUUGCGGUGUGGAAAGAUGAUGCCUUGUUCAAAUUAGGAUAACCUCCAGCUAGGUCUAGCAUCCAUGCAAUUCAUGUAAUCCAAGAUUUUACUCACCUGAGGGAACAGACUAUUUUUGCUGGCCCCAGUUCACUUUCUUUCACACGUUUUACAAUGUGUGGUAUUUUAAUCAAUGUCAACCUGCAACUUUCAGAGUCGAGGCUUUGGAAAUGCCCGAUGUCUUUUUUUUUUUUUUCGUUCCUUUUCCCUUGGCAUCAUUUGACUCUACACAAAGCUAUAUGCCCCUUUCUUCACUGUAUGCCACACAUUAAAUUAAGCAUUAAUUAAAGAGUCUCUUGAAGAUCGAGACCUGCACUUCAUGCCUGCCCGUCCCAAGAAACAAGGAAGGAAAUUCUGACACUUAAAACAAAAAGGCACCAUGCAGGGAUAUGAAAUUGACUAUGAAAAGAACGGGGAGAAUGAUAUAGUUCAGAGUGCUGUGACAGAAGAACAGAGGAAAUAUAUGGCUGCCAGGGUUCAGUGGAAAGGGAGGGGGUAUGGAGGGCACCUGCAACAACAGAACUUAUCUGGGAGACCUUGGAGUUCCAGGCUUGUUUCGAGGCUUCUUGUCAACCAAGUCAUUGAUGGUUUUGAUCUUAGAUCAC
Lynx canadensis (Canada lynx) is the source of this 1133-nucleotide long non-coding RNA. RefSeq lists it as uncharacterized. NCBI's taxonomy places the organism in Eukaryota, Metazoa, Chordata, Mammalia, Carnivora, Felidae. The record is from RefSeq and is a predicted model, not a curated record. The transcript is spliced from 4 exons.